AGAUUGAACGCUGGCGGCGUGCCUAACACAUGCAAGUCGAGCGGUAACAGGUGUAGCAAUACAUGCUGACGAGCGGCGAACGGGUGAGUAAUGCUUCGGAAUCUACCUUAUGGUGGGGAAUAACUAGCCGAAAGGUUAGCUAAUACCGCAUACGUCCUACGGGAGAAAGCAGGGGAUCGCAAGACCUUGCGCCAAAAGAUGAGCCGAAGUCGGAUUAGCUAGUUGGUAGGUAACGGCCUACCAAGGCGACGAUCCGUAGCUGGUCUGAGAGGACGACCAGCCACACCUGGAACUGAGACACGGUCCAGACUCCUACGGGAGGCAGCAGUGGGGAAUAG
This 338-nucleotide ribosomal RNA is filed under the name uncultured soil bacterium. Its description in RNAcentral is "bacterial SSU rRNA". It matches the Rfam family "Bacterial small subunit ribosomal RNA", at positions 26 to 364 of the family's 1533-position model. The record is from RNAcentral.